UCAGUUGUGAUACUAAAUUAUGGCUCUUUAUCUCUUUUCAGAUAUACGUAAAAGUCCCCAUAGCACUUUUCACAUGAAAUCAGGGAGCUUCUCCUGGAUUCAUUUGGACAUGUCUUGUGAGACUUUUUCUUGCUUGGAGAAUUUUCUUAAAAUGAAAGGAGGCAGUAAGGAUCUUUCCCUCAUGUUGGCUCCCCAAUCAUUUAUUUGCUUUACAAGAUGGUGCAACCCAACAAGACAAGUAUACAGUGCCAGAGGACACUCAACGCCUCCUACAAAUUGAUAUCACCAAAACACCUUCCUUAGGGUUAUGAGUGAGGAAGUGGUAGCUAUCUACCCUGUAAGACCAUUGCUGUUGUAAAAUCUUCACACUUUAUCAAGAAACAGGCUAAUACUUAGAAAACCACAACGACAGUAGUUAGUUCUUUAGAAUCUUGGUCUUCUCAGUCAGAUUGGCAAAUUAUUGAUGCCCUUUUCACUAGGGUAACCCAGUCCAUUAGAUUUGACUGAAGAACUAGAUAAUUGAAGUGAGCAAAACACUACUUGUCACUAGAUAAUUGGAUUUUCAUGAGUAUUUUGAGCAACAAGUUCUUCUUCCAUAGGCAGCCCCUUGGGAUUAAGGAUAGCUUUCACUCAUUCUAGUUUGAUAGAUUAUGAGAUGACUAAUACAUACUGGAAAACCAACUGGAAAGGAACAAUGUUUAUUGUUGAACACCAAAAUAGAACCAAUCUCCUGGCAUACACACAAUAGUACCAGCCUCAGACAGUUUAUUCUAUAUGCGAGUCGACCCUAUAGAUAUUUUCCUUAUCAACCUGUUCAAAGAUGUUAUUACACACCUCUGCAGCUGGUGGCACUAUAACCAGGCCUCCUAGUGCAGGAGUAGGAGGCCUACUACUGCAUCACCAUAGGGUCCCUUGGUCUGCUUCUUCUUUUUAUCACUAACCUAUUUUUCAAACAAUUUGUUUAGAAACAUUAUUACACAUGCCUGGAGCAGGAGACAGUGAGGACUACAGAUGCUGGAGAUCAGUCGAGAUUGUGGUGCUGGAAAAGCACAGCAGUAGGAUUACGGUUUGCCAAAUUCCAAUCUGUGAGAACCAUUCCAGAAUCUAUAGAAUUCUGAAGGAUGACCACCAUUGUACCUAUUAUUUCUAGGUAUCUUUUCUAACAGCCUGCAAGCAUUGUUGCAGAGUCCAAUAUUACAUAUUCUCAUUGUGAUACAUUCUCCAGUGAGGAGGAGAGGUGAAGAAGAGAUGGAAGAAGCCAGCAGAGCAAGAGCAGGGGUCACAGAAAUUGGAUGAAAGAAGCCAACAAUCUGAGGAGUGAGGAGUCUCCCAGGGAAGAUGGCUGCAGCAGGCAGAGAUGAAGUUAGAGGCCAUACCUUAUCAAUCAUGUGGAUAUGACAAACCUGCAAAUCACUUACAGUGCUUCACGGGACCGUGCCUUUCAUGAGUCAUAAUAAUAUCCUUGUGUGGUACAAUUGUCCCAGAGAUACCAUCUAACUGUUUGGGGGCCAUCCUUUAUCUGCAGCAUUCAAAGCCAUAAUGACAUUCACCCUUCUGUAUCAGGGUCAUUUGAGGCUUCCUGGUUGACAUUAUCCAGCAUUCAGCACCUCUCUGUGUUACAGUAUUUACAUGAUACUAUCUUUCACUGUGUUCAGCAGUUCAUUGCAUUCAGCACUGACAACAUGAGCCAAGUAGAAUCAACCAGAAUCUUUGCUGCCAUAAUAGGUUUUCCAAGGGGGCAAUAUAUAAUGUUGCUGGUUGUAGAAUAUAUUUGGAAUGAUUGAGUGGUGCUCACUAUGAGCUGCAGUCCCUUAUUCCCCUUGUCCUCAAUGCCUUUGAUGGCUGUCCCUGGUUACUUGCUGCAAGGCCCAGCUUGGGAAUCUCAAUCCAUUCAGCUAAGCUGACUCUGCCUGAUCAUAUUAUGUAUUUCUAAAUG
Chiloscyllium plagiosum (whitespotted bambooshark) is the source of this 1936-nucleotide non-coding RNA. NCBI's taxonomy places the organism in Eukaryota, Metazoa, Chordata, Chondrichthyes, Orectolobiformes, Hemiscylliidae. The record is from RefSeq and is a predicted model, not a curated record.